This 2144-nucleotide ribosomal RNA is filed under the name human gut metagenome. RNAcentral's name for it is "bacterial LSU rRNA". It matches the Rfam family "Bacterial large subunit ribosomal RNA", at positions 1 to 1999 of the family's 2925-position model. The record is from RNAcentral.
UGCCGCUUGCGAGGGCGUAUGGUGGAUGCCUUGGCAGACAGUACCGAUGAAGGACGUUUGAGGAUGCGAUAAUCCUAGGGGAGCCUCCAACAUGGCUUUGAUCCUAGGGUCUCCGAAUGGGGGAACCCGCCGGCCGUCAUGGGCCGGCACCGCUUAUGUGCGGGGGGUACGCAGGGAAGUGAAACAUCUCAGUACCUGCAGGAAGGGAUACUCCGUGAGUAGUGGCGAGCGAAAGCGGAUCAGACCAAACCGGUUGCGCGUGAUACCCGUCGGGGGUUGCGUUGCCGGUGUUGUGGGAUCACGUGUCCCGGUUCCGACGGGCCGGGCGGGAGUCAUAAAACGGCUUGCCAGGGGAACAGGCUUGAAGGCCUGGCCGUAGAGGGUGCCAGCCCCGUACCUGGACGUGAGCCGUCUUCCGAUCGUGUUGUCCCAAGUAGCGCGGGCCUCGUGGAAUCCCGCGUGAAUCAGCCCAGACCGUUGGGUAAGUCUAAGCAUACCUGUCUGACCGAUAGCGUACCAGUACCGUGAGGGAAAGGUGAAAAGCACCCCGGGAGGGGAGUGAAACAGUUCCUGAAACCGUGCGCCCACAAACCGUCGGAGCCUCCUUGUGGGGUGACGGCGUGCCUAUCGAAAAAUGAGUCUGCGAGUCAGUGGCGGGUGGCGAGCAUAAGCCGUGUGGCGUAUGCGUAGCGAAAGCGAGUCUUAAAAGGCGUUUUUAGUCGCUUGUCCUGGACCCGAAGCGGGAUGAUCUAGCCCUGGGCAGGUUGAAGCGCGGGUAAGACCGCGUGGAGGACCGAACCCACCUGGGUUGAAAACCGGGGGGAUGACCUGGGGCUAGGGGUGAAAGGCCAAUCAAAUUCCGUGAUAGCUGGUUCUCUCCGAAAUGCAUUUAGGUGCAGCGUCGGUCGAUUGCGUCGCGGGGGUAGAGCUACCGGAUGCUUGCGGGCCCUUGUUGGGUACCAACAGCAGCCGAACUCCGAAUACCGUUGACGUGUAUUCCGGCAGUGAGUCGGCGGGGGAUAAGCUCCGUCGUCGAGAGGGAGACAGCCCAGACCGUCGUCUAAGGUCCCGAAGCGUGUGCUAAGUGGGAAAGGAUGUGGAGUCGCAUAGACAGCCAGGAGGUUGGCUCAGAAGCAGCCAUCCUUGAAAGAGUGCGUAACAGCUCACUGGUCUAGUGGUUCCGCGCCGACAAUGUAGCGGGGCUCAAGCACACCACCGAAGACGCGGCAGCAAUCUUCAUGGUUGCUGGGUAGGAGAGCGUCCUGCGAGGGGCGAAGCGGCGGUGGAAACCGGCCGUGGACUUCGUGGGAGUGAGAAUGCAGACAUGAGUAGCGAGAGACGGGUGAGGAUCCCGUCCGCUGGAUGACCAAGGGUUCCGGGGCCACGUUCGUCGUCCCCGGGUGAGUCGGGUCCUAAGGCGAGGCCGACAGGCGUAGUCGAAUGGAUGAACGGGUGGAUAUUCCCGUACCGACCAUGGACCGGCAAAACCGAGACGGUGAGUACUAACCUCCGCCUCGUGGUGGUUCCUUCCUUCGGGUUGGUAUCGCCGCGUGGUGUUGGGACUGUAGCCGCAGUAGGUCAGCGCAGGGGUGACACGGAAUGGGAGCCGGCCGCGGAGGUGGUUUUCCGUGGUCAAGCACGCAGCCAGUCAUGUAGGCAAAUCCGCAUGGCGCGCAUGGCGAGGUGUGAUGAUGGGAGCCGUUAUGGCUCGAUAUCCGGUUGUCCAGGCCGUCGAGAAAAGCCUCGGCGUGAGGGCCAUGGCCGCCCGUACCCCAAACCGACACUGGUGGUCAGGUAGAGAAUACCAAGGCGAUCGAGCGAAUCCUGGUCAAGGAACUCGGCAAAUCACUCCCGUGCCUUCGGUAUAAGGGAGACCCACUGGGGUGAACGGCCUCGCGCCGGGAGCUUUGGUGGGUGGCACAGACCAGGGGGUAGCGACUGUUUACCAAAAACACAGGUGCAUGCGAAGGCGAAAGCCGCUGUAUAUGCACUGACGCCUGCCCGGUGCCGGAAGGUUAAGAGGAUCCGUCAAUCCCUUCGGGGACGAAGCGGUGAAUUCAAGCCCCGGUAAACGGCGGUGGUAACUAUAACCAUCCUAAGGUAGCGAAAUUCCUUGUCGGGUAAGUUCCGACCUGCACGAAUGG